GGUUUGAUGGCUGAACGCUUAAGCGGUGGGCUGUAGCCCCAAGGAUAGAGGUUGAAUUCCUCUUCAUGCCA
Molecule: transfer RNA, 71 nt
Filed under: Dasyscopelus asper (prickly lanternfish)
Lineage: Eukaryota; Metazoa; Chordata; Actinopteri; Myctophiformes; Myctophidae
Description: Myctophum asperum (prickly lanternfish) tRNA-Tyr
Rfam family: tRNA
About the family: Transfer RNA (tRNA) molecules are approximately 80 nucleotides in length. Their secondary structure includes four short double-helical elements and three loops (D, anti-codon, and T loops). Further hydrogen bonds mediate the characteristic L-shaped molecular structure. tRNAs have two regions of fundamental functional importance: the anti-codon, which is responsible for specific mRNA codon recognition, and the 3' end, to which the tRNAs corresponding amino acid is attached (by aminoacyl-tRNA synthetases). tRNAs cope with the degeneracy of the genetic code in two manners: having more than one tRNA (with a specific anti-codon) for a particular amino acid; and 'wobble' base-pairing, i.e. permitting non-standard base-pairing at the 3rd anti-codon position.
Source: RNAcentral